GAUGAACGCUGGCGGCGUGCCUAAUACAUGCAAGUCGAGCGAACGGACGAGAAGCUUGCUUCUCUGAUGUUAGCGGCGGACGGGUGAGUAGCACGUGGAUAACCUACCUAUAAGACUGGGAUAACUUCGGGAAACCGGAGCUAAUACCGGAUGAUAUUUUGAACCGCAUGGUUCAAAAGUGAAAGACGGUCUUGCUGUCACUUAUAGAUGGAUCCGCGCUGCAUUAGCUAGUUGGUAAGGUAACGGCUUACCAAGGCAACGAUGCAUAGCCGACCUGAGAGGGUGAUCGGCCACACUGGAACUGAGACACGGUCCAGACUCCUACGGGAGGCAGCAGUAGGGAAUCUUCCGCAAUGGGCGAAAGCCUGACGGAGCAACGCCGCGGGAGUGAUGAAGGUCUUCGGAUCGUAAAACUCUGUUAUUAGGGAAGAACAUAUGUGUAAGUAACUGUGCACAUCUUGACGGUACCUAAUCAGAAAACCACGGCUAACUACGU
This 496-nucleotide ribosomal RNA is filed under the name uncultured bacterium. RNAcentral's name for it is "partial 16S ribosomal RNA". It matches the Rfam family "Bacterial small subunit ribosomal RNA", at positions 28 to 506 of the family's 1533-position model. The record is from RNAcentral.